Molecule: ribosomal RNA, 490 nt
Filed under: uncultured bacterium
Lineage: Bacteria
Description: partial 16S ribosomal RNA
Rfam family: Bacterial small subunit ribosomal RNA
Source: RNAcentral
UGAACGCUGGCGGUAGGCCUAACACAUGCAAGUCGAACGGCAGCACAGUAAGAGCUUGCUCUUACGGGUGGCGAGUGGCGGACGGGUGAGGAAUACAUCGGAAUCUACUUUUUCGUGGGGGAUAACGUAGGGAAACUUACGCUAAUACCGCAUACGACCUACGGGUGAAAGCAGGGGAUCUUCGGACCUUGCGCGAUUGAAUGAGCCGAUGUCGGAUUAGCUAGUUGGCGGGGUAAAGGCCCACCAAGGCGACGAUCCGUAGCUGGUCUGAGAGGAUGAUCAGCCACACUGGAACUGAGACACGGUCCAGACUCCUACGGGAGGCAGCAGUGGGGAAUAUUGGACAAUGGGCGCAAGCCUGAUCCAGCCAUACCGCGUGGGUGAAGAAGGCCUUCGGGUUGUAAAGCCCUUUUGUUGGGAAAGAAAAGCAGCAGGUUAAUACCCCGCUGUUCUGACGGUACCCAAAGAAUAAGCACCGGCUAACUUCGUG